Molecule: unclassified non-coding RNA, 337 nt
Filed under: soil metagenome
Description: partial contains 5.8S ribosomal RNA, internal transcribed spacer 2, and large subunit ribosomal RNA
Rfam family: 5.8S ribosomal RNA (bases 1-120)
Source: RNAcentral
GAUGAAGAACGCAGCGAAAUGCGAUAAGUAGUGUGAAUUGCAGAAUUCAGUGAAUCAUCGAAUCUUUGAACGCACAUUGCGCCCCUUGGUAUUCCAUGGGGCAUGCCUGUUCGAGCGUCAUUUGUACCUUCAAGCUCUGCUUGGUGUUGGGUGUUUGUCUCGCCUCUGCGUGUAGACUCGCCUCAAAACAAUUGGCAGCCGGCGUAUUGAUUUCGGAGCGCAGUACAUCUCGCGCUUUGCACUCAUAACGACGACGUCCAAAAGUACAUUUUUACACUCUUGACCUCGGAUCAGGUAGGGGUACCCGCUGAACUUAAGCAUAUCAAUAAGCGGAGGA